RNAcentral lists this ribosomal RNA (1059 nucleotides) under Lactobacillus sp. H2_1_2MCO2. Its description in RNAcentral is "bacterial SSU rRNA". It matches the Rfam family "Bacterial small subunit ribosomal RNA", at positions 342 to 1382 of the family's 1533-position model. Lineage: Bacteria; Bacillati; Bacillota; Bacilli; Lactobacillales; Lactobacillaceae. The record is from RNAcentral.
CGGGAGGCAGCAGUAGGGAAUCUUCCACAAUGGACGAAAGUCUGAUGGAGCAACGCCGCGUGAGUGAUGAAGGUUUUCGGAUCGUAAAACUCUGUUGUUAAAGAAGAACAAGUGUUAGAGUAACUGUUAACACUUUGACGGUAUUUAACCAGAAAGCCACGGCUAACUACGUGCCAGCAGCCGCGGUAAUACGUAGGUGGCAAGCGUUGUCCGGAUUUAUUGGGCGUAAAGCGAGCGCAGGCGGUUUUGUAAGUCUGCUGUGAAAGCCCUCAGCUCAACUGAGGAAGUGCAGUGGAAACUACAAAACUUGAGUACAUGAAGANGAAAGUGGAACUCCAUGUGUANCGGUGAAAUGCGUAGAUAUAUGGAAGAACACCAGUGGCGAAGGGCGGCUUUNUGGUCUGUUACNGACGACUGAGGCUUCGGAAAGNCAUGGGUAGCGAACAGGGAUUAGAUACCCNUGGGUAGUCCAUGCNGUAAAACGAUGAAUAACUAGGUGUUGGAGGGUUUCCGCCCUUCAGUGCCGCAGCUAACGCAUUAAGUAUUCCGCCUGGGGAGUACGACCGCAAGGUUGAAACUCAAAGGAAUUGACGGGGGCCCGCACAAGUGGUGGAGCAUGUGGUUUAAUUCGAUGCUACGCGAAGAACCUUACCAGCUCUUGACAUCUUCUGCCAACCCAAGAGAUUGGGCGUUCCCUUCGGGGACAGAAUGACAGGUGGUGCAUGGUUGUCGUCAGCUCGUGUCGUGAGAUGUUGGGUUAAGUCCCGCAACGAGCGCAACCCUUAUUAUUAGUUGCCAGCAUUUAGUUGGGCACUCUAGUGAGACUGCCGGUGAUAAACCGGAGGAAGGUGGGGACGACGUCAAAUCAUCAUGCCCCUUAUGAGCUGGGCUACACACGUGCUACAAUGGAUGGUACAACGAGUCGCGAAACCGCGAGGUCAAGCUAAUCUCUUAAAGCCAUUCUCAGUUCGGAUUGCAGGCUGCAACUCGCCUGCAUGAAGUUGGAAUCACUAGUAAUCGUGGAUCAGCAUGCCANCGGUGAAUACGUUCCCGGGCCUU